Molecule: ribosomal RNA, 390 nt
Filed under: Triticum aestivum (bread wheat)
Lineage: Eukaryota; Viridiplantae; Streptophyta; Magnoliopsida; Poales; Poaceae
Description: partial small subunit ribosomal RNA
Source: RNAcentral
CCCUUUUCCCGUGCAUAUGCAUCGGACUCGGAUGACGAUGGUCCCGAUGAAGAAGUUGAUGAGGAGGGGUUCACGCCGAAGGAGGCCCAAGCAUUCAAGAAGGUAUUCGGGCGGGAUCACAAGACACCAUUGUUCAAGGAUCUUAGUCUCGCGGAUGAAGCCGUUGUGGAUGGUGUCAAAUGCAUAUCUCUUGGAGCUAGGCCAAGUUCUCAUCGUGAUUUGGAAGACGGCAAGAACGGGAUAUAUCCCGGUUGUGAGUUUCAAUCCUUCUUGGAAUUGAAGAUGUGGCUCAACAACUACUCUGUUACACAUUAUCGUCCACAUAAAGUGGCCAACUCAGACGUGAAUGUGCGUUACACAGUCAAAUGUGAAGUGCCAACAUGUCCAUGA